AGAGUUUGAUUAUGGCUCAGGAUGAACGCUGGCGGCGUGCUUAACACAUGCAAGUCGAACGAAGCAACUAUCUUGCUGCAAGAGAGUUGACUUAGUGGCGGACGGGUGAGUAACGCGUGGGUAACCUGCCUCAUACAGGGGGAUAACAGUUGGAAACGACUGCUAAGACCGCAUAACCCGCUAGUGUCGCAUGACACGGACGGAAAAUAUUUAUAGGUAUGAGAUGGGCCCGCGUCUGAUUAGCUAGUUGGUAAGGUAACGGCUUACCAAGGCGACGAUCAGUAGCCGACUUGAGAGAGUGAUCGGCCACAUUGGGACUGAGACACGGCCCAAACUCCUACGGGAGGCAGCAGUGGGGAAUAUUGGACAAUGGGGGAAACCCUGAUCCAGCCGACGCCGCGUGAGUGAAGAAGUAUUUCGGUAUGUAAAGCUCUAUCAGCAGGGAAGAUAAUGACAGUACCUGACUAAGAAGCCCCGGCUAACUACGUGCCAGCAGCUGC
RNAcentral lists this ribosomal RNA (500 nucleotides) under uncultured bacterium. RNAcentral describes it as "bacterial SSU rRNA". It matches the Rfam family "Bacterial small subunit ribosomal RNA", at positions 8 to 518 of the family's 1533-position model. The record is from RNAcentral.